AGAUUUUGAUGAUAUGCCUACAGGAGACUAAACUACAGGAAAAAGACGUUGAAGCGAUCAAGGAAAGUCUCCAUGACUAUAAGAAUAGCUUUUGGACAUGCAGUGUCUCUAAGCUUGGAUAUUCUGGUACUGCAAUCAUCUCACGAAUUAAACCAGUUUCUAUCAAAUAUGGUCUCGGUAUACCAGAUCAUGAUACUGAAGGACGACUUGUUACGGUGGAAUUUGAUAACUUCUAUUUGUUGUGUGGAUAUGUUCCAAAUUCUG
This 264-nucleotide unclassified non-coding RNA is filed under the name Hevea brasiliensis (rubber tree). Lineage: Eukaryota; Viridiplantae; Streptophyta; Magnoliopsida; Malpighiales; Euphorbiaceae. The record is from RNAcentral.